Molecule: long non-coding RNA, 1131 nt
Organism: Perca flavescens (yellow perch)
Lineage: Eukaryota; Metazoa; Chordata; Actinopteri; Perciformes; Percidae
Exons: 3
Source: RefSeq, a predicted model, not a curated record
CUAUGUUCAGACCCCAUACAAUUUCUAGCUACAUUAUAGCACUAGCUAUAGCUAUAUUGUUCGCACACGUUAUACCGUUCUUAUUUAAAAAGUCGCUCGACACGUACAGUUACUUUUAAACCAACGACUUUGCUGAGUGUUCUUUAACACAUUUUUACUUCUUUGUAUUAUGCAUGCGUUCAACCACCAGAGAGCGACAUUUACGUUAGUUAGCUGUUAUCUCCCAGCAUCCCAGCUGCCCACAUGGCUGCACAUCAUUGCACACGGAGACAAAAUCCACUCGACCUCAAAACCACCUAGCUAACGGCCACAGUGAGGAGCUCUGUCUGCCAACCCUGGUCUCUGCUUUGCCUCUGCUCCCAUACUGGGUAACCAUUGUUAUCCAGCAGCACCCUGAGAGUUCCCACAUUAUGGCCCAUCAGACGGUAGUCAAAGGAAAUUCAUCCACCCGUCUCUGCUCAGUCUCGCCAACGUAGACCUCUCCAUCAUAGUCAAAAGGCUGCUCACGGAUCUUAGGAGGCGGCGUUGCUACUGGUUCAGGGAUAACAUUUUUGAUGUCCUCGUUGUCCAGUGUACCUCUCACUUGGGAGUCUGGGAUGGCUGCAGGCAGAAAGAUAAAUCAGAUUAGACAUGUGGAACCGCAAUCAUGAGUGGGAAAGACAGUAUUUUACCAGGUUUGUCGUUCACGUAUUUUGCAGCUGCUGUUCUUGUUCUACUCCAUGCAGAUGAAGCAUGACAGCAACGUUUCUUGCACAUAACGUUAAUUAGUGUUUAAAAUUGCACAAGCAUUUUAUCACACAAGUUCUGUAUAUAAAGGGUCAUGCUGAGGAUUCCAGGUCUCAUAUCAAGCUGUGUGCGUGGUGGACGCACAACGUUUCCAGCCAUAUGCAAGGCAGAGAGUUUGGAGAGGUGUUCUUAAAAGUAGGAGGCAAGAGGAGAGAAUGAAUGGGGAUGCAGGGCAGGGCGUGAACAGCGGAAGCAGAGUCUUGGAUUUCACAAAAUCUCACCAUUGAGGAAAUCAUCUGCACUGCCUUUGUCUCCAUCCCACGACCGCUGAUAAAAUGGCUUGACUACAAAAAAUAAAGGCAUCUUUCAUUUACACUGAAACCCCUUGCAUAUUCUGUUCAUGUU